AUUAUAUUUUUAUCAUCAUUCAUCUUGUUUCUUACAUAUUUGAUUAUCCUUUUCUUAAAUCAUUAAUAAUUGUAUUAUUUUAGUCUUAUACAAGAGUUCUAUUCUCAGAAGUUCUUACUGAGUCCUGCUUGUUUUGUCUGCUGGCUCUCACUCAUGGUAGUUUCUUUCUUUGUGUGCUGUGUGUGAACUCAUGUUUGCAUGCUGCCACAAUGUGGGCUCACAUCAUCUUCACUUUUUUUUUUUUUUUUGAGUCAGAGUCUUGCCUUGUUGCCCAGGCUGGUGUGCAGUGGUGCGAUCAUGGCUUACUGCAGCCUUGACCUCCUGGGCUCAAGUGAUCCUCCCACCUCAGCCUCCCAAGUAGCUGUGCCAGCCAAUUUUUUGUUUUUUUGUAUUUUUUGUAGAGACUGGGGUGGGCGGGCGGGGGGUCGGGGGGGUCUCACCGUGUUGCCCAGGCUGGUCUCUAAUUUCUGAGAUCUAAUCCCGAAGUGUUGGGAUUACAGGUGCGAGCCACUGCACUCGACCACCAUCCUCAC
Molecule: long non-coding RNA, 533 nt
Filed under: Homo sapiens (human)
Lineage: Eukaryota; Metazoa; Chordata; Mammalia; Primates; Hominidae
Description: non-protein coding lnc-FGF9-5:1
Source: RNAcentral